RNAcentral lists this transfer RNA (75 nucleotides) under Gelidiella fanii. RNAcentral describes it as "tRNA-Gly". It matches the Rfam family "tRNA". From Rfam's summary of the family: Transfer RNA (tRNA) molecules are approximately 80 nucleotides in length. Their secondary structure includes four short double-helical elements and three loops (D, anti-codon, and T loops). Further hydrogen bonds mediate the characteristic L-shaped molecular structure. tRNAs have two regions of fundamental functional importance: the anti-codon, which is responsible for specific mRNA codon recognition, and the 3' end, to which the tRNAs corresponding amino acid is attached (by aminoacyl-tRNA synthetases). tRNAs cope with the degeneracy of the genetic code in two manners: having more than one tRNA (with a specific anti-codon) for a particular amino acid; and 'wobble' base-pairing, i.e. permitting non-standard base-pairing at the 3rd anti-codon position. Lineage: Eukaryota; Rhodophyta; Florideophyceae; Gelidiales; Gelidiellaceae. The record is from RNAcentral.
GCGGAUAUAGAAAAAAUAGGUAACCUCAUUAGUUUUCCAAACUAAAGUUUACGGGUUCGAAUCCCGUUAUUCGCU